AAGUGAGAAGCAAAUAAUUGCAAUCAGUUUCGACCUGGUCCUAGAUAAGACUUUUAUCCUUACUUU
Molecule: transfer RNA, 66 nt
Filed under: Patawatermes sp. A TB-2017
Lineage: Eukaryota; Metazoa; Arthropoda; Insecta; Blattodea; Termitidae
Description: tRNA-Arg
Source: RNAcentral